CACGGUAGGGCGCAAGCGUUGUCCGGAAUUAUUGGGCGUAAAGAGCUCUGUAGGUGGUUUGUUACGUCUGCUGAUGAAAACCGUAGGGCUUAACCCUGGGCUUGCAGUGGAUACGGGCAGACGUAGAGGUAGGUAGGGGAGAAUGGAAUUCCUGGUGUAGCGGUGAAAUGCGCAGAUAUCAGGAGGAACACCGGUGGCGAAGGCGGUUCUCUGGGCCUUACCUGACACUGAGGAGCGAAAGCGUGGGGAGCGAACAGG
Molecule: ribosomal RNA, 258 nt
Filed under: uncultured bacterium
Lineage: Bacteria
Description: partial 16S ribosomal RNA
Rfam family: Bacterial small subunit ribosomal RNA
Source: RNAcentral